This 501-nucleotide ribosomal RNA is filed under the name uncultured bacterium. Its description in RNAcentral is "bacterial SSU rRNA". It matches the Rfam family "Bacterial small subunit ribosomal RNA", at positions 29 to 534 of the family's 1533-position model. The record is from RNAcentral.
AGUUAACGUUGGCGGCGUGCCUAACACAUGCAAGUCGAACGCGUCCUAAGGGCAACUUUAGGAUGAGUGGCGAACGGGUGAGUAUCACGUGGGUAAUCUUCCUUCAAGUGGGGGAAUAAGCUCUCGAAAGGGAGUCUAAUACCGCAUGACAUUCCGGGACACAAGUCCCCGUAAUCAAAGCCGCAAGGCGCUUGAAGAUGAGCCUGCGUCCUAUUAGCUAGUUGGUGGGGUAACGCCUACCAAGGCUUAGAUGGGUAGCCGGCCUGAGAGGGUGAACGGCCACACUGGGACUGAGACACGGCCCAGACUCCUACGGGAGGCAGCAGUGAGGAAUUUUGCGCAAUGGGGGAAACCCUGACGCAGCGACGCCGCGUGGAGGAUGAAGGCCUUCGGGUCGGUAAACUCCUGUCAGAGGUGAAGAAUACCCGCAAGGGUUUGACGGUAACCUCAGAGGAAGCCCCGGCUAACUACGUGCCAGCAGCCGCGGUAAGAGUCACGUCG